Molecule: ribosomal RNA, 688 nt
Filed under: uncultured bacterium
Lineage: Bacteria
Description: bacterial SSU rRNA
Rfam family: Bacterial small subunit ribosomal RNA
Source: RNAcentral
GAGUUUGAUCCUGGCUCAGAUUGAACGCUGGCGGAAUGCUUUACACAUGCAAGUCGAACGGCAGCAUGGAGAGCUUGCUCUCUGAUGGCGAGUGGCGAACGGGUGAGUAAUAUAUCGGAACGCGCCUAGUAAUGGGGAACAACUAACCGAAAGGUUAGCUAAUACCGCAUACGACCUACGGGUGAAAGCAGGGGAUCUUCGGACCUUGCGUUACUAGAGCGGCCGAUAUCUGAUUAGGUAGUUGGUAGGGUAAAGGCCUACCAAGCCGACGAUCAGUAGCUGGUCUGAGAGGACGAUCAGCCACACUGGAACUGAGACACGGUCCAGACUCCUACGGGAGGCAGCAGUGGGGAAUUUUGGACAAUGGGGGCAACCCUGAUCCAGCCAUUCCGCGUGAGUGAAGAAGGCCUUCGGGUUGUAAAGCUCUUUCACAAGAGAAGAAAUCUUACUAUCAAAUAAAUAGUAAGGAUGACGGUAUCUUGACAAGAAGCACCGGCUAACUAUGUGCCAGCAGCCGCGGUAAUACAUAGGGUGCGAGCGUUAAUCGGAAUUACUGGGCGUAAAGGGUGCGCAGGCGGCUUUGUAAGUCAGAUGUGAAAUCCCCGAGCUCAACUUGGGAACUGCGUUUGAAACUAUAAGACUAGAGUGUGUCAGAGGGGGGUAGAAUUCCCACGUGUAGCAGUGAAAU